CUAUUUAAUUAAAAAAGCAUUGUGAUGGUCCCUACGGAUGCUAACAUAAUGUGAUUUAUGCCCAAUGCUCUGCAUGCCAAAGUGAUCAGAAACUCAACCAAGCACGGAUAAACGAUGGGAGUAACUAUGACUCUCUUAAGGUAGUCAGAUGUCUCAUCAUCUAAUUAGUGACACGCAUGAAUGGAUUAACGAGAUUCCCAUUGUCCCAAGCUACUAUCUAGAGAAACCAAAACCAAGGGAACGAGCUUGGAAAAAUUAGCAGGGAAAGACGACCCGGUUGAGCUUGACUCUAGUCCAACUUUGUGAAAUGACUUGAGAGGUGUAGAAUAAGUGGUAUUUGUUUUCAGUGCAAGUGAAAUACCGCUACUUUUAACAUCAUUUUACUUAUUGUGUGGGGUAGAGACGAGGCAUUGCACAUAUGUUAAAAGAUAAUGCACAUUUCCUCGAAGUGUUGACUUUGAUGGCAAUGGUCGAAAACUCAUUCUUCACACACUUGAUUGCAAUGAGUUUAGGAAACCAAAGAGGACCAUUUCUUUUAAGGAUGAAGAAAAUUCCUAUAACAAUCCCUAUGUUUUUAGCCAACAUCCCCCUAU
Molecule: non-coding RNA, 593 nt
Organism: Picea glauca (white spruce)
Lineage: Eukaryota; Viridiplantae; Streptophyta; Pinopsida; Pinales; Pinaceae
Source: Rfam